AAACAUGAAGUUUGUCAAAUUUUAAGAUAAUUACUUGUUCUUGUGAAAAACUAAUUAUUUGUAAAAUUUGAAUAAUUUGCUUUAUGAGUUGAAUUAGGUCAAAUUUAAUAAAAGAUAAAAUAAUAUGAUUAUUUUAUUAGUUUUAAAAGUUUGAUCUAAAGAGUUUUAUUUUUUGAAACCUCCAUAAGUUAUGGAUAUGAAAAGGUUUUAAAAAAAAAAUUGAUUCAAAGUUUUUUUGGAGUUACAAAAUUUGGUGUUAAUGUUUUAAAGGAUUCCAUAACUUAAGAAUAAGUUAUGGAUCACCAAAAGUUUUUUGUGUUACCUUGUUUUAUGAGUGAAUUUAGAUUAAUGAAUAAAAUUAUGUGAUAGUUGGUUUUAAUCCAAAUUAAUCUAAGAAUUGAUUCUAAAAUGUGUUUUUGUAACUUGUCCUCAAGUUAUAUGAAAAGUCACAUUUAAGAAUCAUAAAACUCAUAAAAAUUGGCAAAGGUUACAAAAAUGAAGAGUCUAGUUCUAAUUAAAUGGUUUUAUGACUCCAUAACUUGUCCUCAAGUUAUGGAGGACCAAGAGUCUCUUCAUUUAAUAAAAUAAAAUAAAAAAAAAAAAAGUGUAACCUUAAUUAAUUCCAUAAGUUAUAAAAUAAAGAAAAGUUAAUUCUUUUAUUAGUUUAAAGUCUUCCAUAACUUGUCCUCAAGUUAUGGAACUUGAAGAGUUUUUGGAUUAAAACUACUUUAAACACAUAAGUUAUGGAAUUAAUUAGUUUUGAAUAGUUUCAAAACUUGCCCUCAAGUUUUGGAAUUUGUAAAGUUUUCACUUAUGAAUACUUUAAUUCCAAGUUAGCCCUUAGAAUUUUAAAAGUUAAAAUUCAACCCUUAUACUUUAUAAUAUUAUAAGUUAAUAAUAUAUAUAUGUAUAAGAGUAAAGUCAGUCUUACCGCUAGUACGCCUCAUUCACGAAGCCGGUCUAUAAGGUGGGUAUAAGGUUGUUGCCUAUAAAAUGGCAACUUAAUGGGUGUCCACUCUCACCCACCGCUUGCUUGACUGGUGGAGGGUCGUUAGCCGAACGGGUUUGACAGGACUAGAAUUCUCCCUUCAUUAAAAGUAUUAAUGAUAAUACUAAGUAACUAAACUCUUAAUAAUACCCAAUCUUAGUUACUUAGGAAAAAUGUGAAUAAGGUGCUAAUCCAUGAAAUUACACUUUACACUUUGUCUAAGUCGUUAGUGGAGCGUGUGUGGUUAACCGGCACACUAACUUGGACUUAACAAGGUAGGUAAAGGGUGACUUAAUAUUUAUCAUAGUAUCGAUGGAGCGUGUGUGGUUAACCGGCACAUCGAUUGAGGGGUAAUUUAUUAAGGGUACCAAGUGAUUUGCAUGGUUACUUCACACCUUGUUUUGUGAUCCUCGGCAUCCCAGUCACAAAACCUGAAGGGCACACUCGAGAUUGAAACAUGCCUUUGAAAAGUUCAAUGAAUCUCAAAGAUCUAGGAGUUUCAAAACCAAUUAAAACCUAAUAAUACAUUUCGUUUAUCUUGGUGGAAAUUGGUGAAUCGUCAUUCACCUACCUUCAAAUAUUUUAUAGCUUGGAUUACGGCAUACCUCUUCUAAGUUAUAAAAUAGUUUGUUGGGUCCUAGCCUUAAUAUUUCAUAUUGGGUGUCAUAUUAAGGACUUUAAAUCAACUAUCUUGAAUAUCUCCCAAAAGAUGUCUGGUUUAGACACCUAUGAUCUUCCCAAAUCUCUUGAAACAAGGUUUCCUAAUGAAGAUGAUGUCCCAUGGAUAUCAUACUUCUUUCUCCUCCUCCAAUUAUUCUCCCUAACCCACAAGUUCUUGAAAAGUUUAAGGUCACUCAAGCCCUAUUGGCAAGGCAAGGUCUAGGUGUGAUCACAUCUUGGAGAUGUAGUCACAUAUUGACAAGCCGGGAGAGUUGGGUGUCAAAGUCUUGAGAAAGUUGGUGGUUCAAUCACUUUCUAAGUCACAUAGUGAGUUCCUUUGGGACACCUAUGAAACAGACUAUGACAAGACCCUUAAUGAUCUUAUCUAUUUGCUAAGAUCAACUUCCUAAAACUUUAUGGACAUUGACAAUGAUGACAUUGGAUAUCCAGUAAAGCAUUCUCUUCCCAAUGGAAAGGGAUCGGCCAUAGUCAACUCGGUUGACCAAAUGGUAAAGAGAAAAGCUAAGUCUGUGAUAGUCUCGUGUACUAUUAUCAAAGGGUCCAUACGUUUGUAUUGCCAAAGAAAGGGGCAUUGGUUGCGAAGAUGCCAGAUUUACCUAAGGAUGUUAAAGUCAAUAAGUUUGACUCUACUUCAGGUAAAGUCCACUAUCUAACUCUGUUAAGUUUCUAUUCUGAGAUUCUUGAUACAUGAUGUGACUGGGUCACAUGGUGAUGUUUUAAGAAUCAAAGAAAAGUGAAGAAACUUAAAGAAAGAAUAUGCUGAAUCUGAUGGCGUAGAUGGAUUUCUAUCGCAUAGUUUGAAGAUCGGAUUCUUGAGCUACUUCUUAGGAGUUAUGAGAUAUUGCUUAGGAAUAGAUAACAACAAGUUUUCAUAUGGAUUGUAAGGAUAAGUUUUUCCGCAAAGUUUUAAAAUAAAAGAAAAUUUUUUUGAUUUUAUUUAUUUUAAAAUAUCCUUACAAUGGCUUUUGAGGAAAAAUUGUUGCUUAUAUGAUUCCAUUAAGAGCAAGAGUGGAAAUAUGAAAUUGAUUCUUUCAUUUGUGGUAAUGUCUAGAUUUACCAAAUAAGGAAAGAUUCUCAUCACCCAAGUUUCAAUUGGACCGGAACUUGGAAUCAUGCAAGUUGUAUAGCAUGAUGAAUGAGAACUUUCAAGUUUUGGAAAAUUAAGACUAAUUACUUGUUCACAUGGAUGUGUGAGUCAAGUAAAGGACUAAGGGAUCGAGUACACAUUCUUGUGCACUGAUUAAGUCCACCACUAAAGAUCGAUAAGAAGAAUCAAAUAAGGCAGAAGGAUAAAAGUUUCUCAAAUCUGAAAAGAUGGGAGAGUACUUUAGUAUCAGUUUUGUGAUCAUCUUAAUGAUUAAGAAACCAUAUCAAAAUUAGUUCUCUAAGGAAAUCUUAGUGCAUUCUUAUGACUAAGAAGAGGAACUUGAAUUGUUGAAAUGGUUAAAUCAAGAAGAUGAGUCAUACUUCGUUCCAAUACAAGUCUUAGAGUCAUACUCCAAGAUUGUCAUUUGAGUGACAUGUCUUAAAGAAGGUUUAAAACACUUGUCAAAUGUAAGAGUAAAAGUUUUCUACUCUUGUACAUUUGAAAUUGGUAAGUUGUGAUGUUUUGGAUAAAACAAAGACCAACUUAGGCCAAUUGGGUAAAGUGUUUUUCUUGAUUAGAAUCCGCACUAUCUCUUGGAUGUUUGACAAGGGAGUCUUAUAUGUCAAGAGGACAGUGGGAGUCUUAAAGGUCUUGAAAGUCUCAAGAAAUAAUCAAGAAUAAAACCUGAAGUUCUUCACUAGCACACGACUUGAGGUUUAUAACCUAUCGUGUUGACAUAUCUGUGCCCAUUCCAGUUAAAGUUGGCUUUGCAUAUGAGUUCUUAGAGUUCUCAGUUUGUUGCAUAACAACUUGGAAGCAAUGGCAGGCCCUUGAGCUGCCAGGUGGCAAGAAGUUAAGAUUGAGUUCAAUCCAUAUGGUUUUGGAUUUGUCAUUAUCUUUGUCUUGUGAUUAUGGUUUGACAAAUUCAUAUGGGUAGGAACUCAUACACCAUAUAAAUCUAAGUGUCAUAAGGUUUCUCUCCGAUUCAUGAAAAUGAUGGUGAGGAAACGCUUUCACUAAGUAGAUUUUACGAAGAUAUCAAUUGUGUUAUUUGCAUUUUCAAAAGUCGUUAGUGGAGCGCGUGUGGUUAACCGGCACACUAACAUGGACUUGUGAGAAAUGGCAAAUGCCUAAGCAAUUGAGACCAUGAUUACGGUAUCCCUUUUCAUGGUUCUUGAAAUUGCUUAGACACACAGGUGAGCUAUCUACGGAAAGGGUGUAUGAAUCUAAAUUUCAGACUGUCCAGCUGAUUUCUGAGUACAUGUCAAAGCUAGUGGGAGCAUAAGUGUUAUGCUAAUAAUCAUCAUGUUAGUGGGAGCAUGAUAAUUAUGAUAAGUAUUGCAAGUUAGCAAUGUUAAUUAUAGAAAACAAAAGUUUCAAUUGGGAAAAAGUUGUUUUGCUAUAAUUAAGGGAGAGGAAAUUAUGCUUCAUCUCAAAUCUAUAAGCUUAGAUCGUGAGGUUUUAAUCAUUUAGUCAAGGAUAUAUAUGAAUUUCAUGUUGGAAUGGCUCAACAUAAGGAAAUUCUGUAUAUGGGUCCAUUAUUUGCGUUCUAAAAUUCGAUUAUGAUUACGGCAUCCCUUUUCAUAAUCUGAAUUAUGAGAACUUGGCAAAUUGAAAUGGAAAUAUUAUAGCAAAAGACUGGUUUAGUCUUUAUGUAAGACAUCAUGAAUCGUGUCCCAUAUGCUUCGGAUAUAGGAUCGAUUACAUGUGCUAUAUUCAUCCGUUCUAAAAUUUUCCAAAUGCCUGGGGCAUUAAGAAGGGAAAAGGUUUAGAACUGGAUAUGACUAAAAGGAUUAAACAAUUGUCGAGGACAAUCUAAGGUUUACCAAAGAUUGGUUACUCAAGGACAAUUGGAAGUAUAGUGAUAAUUCUGGAAGGACCAUAUUGACAUAAUCUGUAAGGAGGCAACUCUUGUUCAGAAGUGAUAGUCAAAAUGGAAUCUGGAAAUGUUUCAAAGUUAGAAUUUUCAAUCUGUGUAAGAUUAAGGAAACUUAAUGCAAGAAGGAUAUUUCCAAGGAGUUGAUCUCCUUUGGAAUACUCUGUAAUGAUUGUUGCCAAGUCUUUGUGACUUUGUGCAUAAUCAUUACAAGAGGAUCAAUGCAUAUAAGUUUAGAAUCUAACAGAUUUCAGUAAAUGGCAUGAAUUUGGAAUUCUUGCAUUUGCAGUAAGGAUUUGGGAGUGUGAAAAGAGAAUCAUUGAAGUUAUGUUCAAUUGAUCUAGUUCACAAAGUAAAGAUCAUAGACAAACAUAGUAUGCAUACUUGGUGUGUGGCAUGACUAGUGUUUAAGAAAACAUAGUGUACAUGCUUGGAGCAUGGGACAACUAUUGUUUUAAAUUCAAGAAUAAAGUUGAUAGCUGAAACAGUAUACAAUGAAUAAUGUGUAAUCAUAUGGUGAUAAAUAAAAGGUGUUUUAUUUAUGUUCAAAGGGUUGAUACCAUAUUGGAUUCAAUUAUUAUUGUGUUUCACUUUGCAUGUUUUGACUUCCCGAAUAAACUAGGUUAUUCUUCCGGAAUGACUAAGUUAUUCAAACCAUCCACAGUCGGUCAUAUGUUGGAAGUAGAUAUGAAUUAAGACUGUCAUGGGUUGGCUUGUAGAGGUCUAAGGUGUUGGACAAAGGGCUACAACACUCAUGAGUGCUCAUAAGUUCUGAGUAUUGGAUUCAACCCGCGCUCAUUGGAAUCACUUCAUGGAUUUUAUCACGAGUGAUCAUGAGACGAUAAUAUCUUAUAUUCUUCAAACCUAGAGAUAUGAGUUGUUACUAUGAGUUGGUUGUACAUUGAUUGCACGAAAACGCAUUUGGUAACUCGGUGCUAUAAAACGUGCCUUUGUGUAUGAUUCAACAAGUAGUAGAACAAGCCAUAUGAGUCGAAGUUUAUCCAUUCCUUUUACCUUCGGGAUAAAAGCGAUAUCUGUGGGCCCCUCGAUGAUUUGAUGAUGACAAAUGGAAGUGCUCGGCCGGGCCAGGACUGAUUUGAUUUGUUCAAUUAGUCAGUCGUCAUAAAUCGGAAAUCGGGAAACAACAAAUGGACAGAGAGAAUGAUUAUAAUCCAUGUCUCAGUCCAUAUGAUAUCUAGAAUGGAGGAAUAUAUGAUCCCUUAUCUAAUGGACAAGUUCGUUGACAAGAUCAGAGUUCGACAGCAGCUUUAAGAGCUACGAUUGCCAGUUAGGUUUGAAGUCAUACGCAAUAAUAGUUUUAGACUUAUCCAAGUGGGAGACUGUUGGAUUAAUGUCUAAGUCCAUAACUAUAUUUGGUAUGUACUUGACCCGACCCGGCAUGGUCCAUUUGGGUUGCACUUCACCGACACAAUUUAUAUGGAUAAUCUUUUGAGAAUAGUAUGUUUAUGAUUAAUAUUAAUAUGUUAUAAGUUCUAAUAUAUUAAUAUGGAAUCAUAUUAUUUAAUUAGUAUUGAUCAAGAAUUAAUUUAUAAUUAAUUAAGUGAUCAAAAGGAACUAAUUAAAUAUGGACUCUUAUAUAUAUGGAAUGGGCCAAGUUCAUUUAGGUUGGGCUAAGCUUUCAUGGAUAGUCCAUGGAGUGUUUAACCCAUGGAUCCUAGGAAAUGAAAGGUCAUGGGUAUUAGGGUUUAACCCUAAUCCUCCAUACUAUAUAAAGAUGUCUUUGGUUGGUGAAAUUGGCACUAGUGUGGAUACACUAAAGAAGGGCUAGCCAAUUUCACUAGAGAGAACCAAGUAAUCAUAUUCUCUAAAGUAUUCCAAGGUGUCUUGGUGAUUUGUGAUUCCACUUGAGGCUUCCACACUAUUGGGGCUAAGCUCUUAAAGCUUGAAGACAUCAAGAUACAUCAAGAGGUAUGUAUUCUAUCUUGUUACAUUCAUAGUUUUUGUAUGCUAGAUUAGGAUAAUACCUUGGAUGUUCUUAUUUGCAUGUAUAAUAGAGAAAACAUAGAUCCAAGGUAUUUAGGGUUGCAUGUACACUUAGGAAGUGUUAGAAUGCUCAAAACCCAACAACAAUAACAUCUGGUGGAGCCAGGCAUAUUCAUUUAACAGAAUACAAACACAGAAUAGUGAUUUACAAAUAUAACUUUUUAUGUGAUUAAAACUACUUUUCAUAUACAACAUAAAAUAUAGGAUUUUUUGGAACAAUUUUCAUAUUUAAGAAACCGAAAACAUACUUUCAAACAAAAAUAUUUAUGCACUCGCUCAAAUUUAUGUUCAUACUCUCUUUUCAAAUUACUUGUAUUCUCAGGGAAACAAUAAACAGGUACUCCCCGAGCUUUUGAGAAGAUGGAGCUAUUUUGAGUCAUAUCUUUUGUAUUUUGCUAUAACUAUUUUGGUGUCAAUAUAUAGUGAUUGAACACAUGUAAAUACUUUUACUAUUAAAUGCAAUGGUUGUUUAUACUUUGAUUACUAUGAUGCAUGUGUUGUGAUACUACAAAUGAAGUCCUCCACCCCUGGACGUUUCCGCCGUCAGGUUUUGGGAUGUGACAAACUCUGACCCAAUCAGUGAAACAUCCUUUAUAUAAGGGAUCAUAUAAUCCUCUGUUCUUCAAGAUAUCAGCCGUACAAAUACGUGGAACAAUGUCAUACUUAUUGUGUAGCUGUUUGUUUCUCGAUUUCCGAUUUCUUUGACAGAGAACUUAAUUGAACACAUCAAUUUAGUCCCGACCAGGCCCGAUAUAUAAGUCAAAACAAAAUCAUCGAGGGGCCUAAGAUAUUGCUUUUAAUCCUCCAAGAAUUAAAAGGAACAGAUAAACUUCGACAUUAUAUGCUUGUACUAACUAUUCGUUAAAUCAUACACAACAAUGUGUUUUAUAACAUCAAGUUACUGAUGCAUUUUCACACUAUCAAUGUACAACCAACUCCUAGUGAACAACUCAUAUAUCUUGGUUUGAAUACUUAUAUGAUAUUAUCACCUCGCGAUCACUCGUGAUAAAUUCCAUGAAGUGAGGAGCAUGGGUUUAAUCCAGUACUCAUACCUUAUGAUCACUCAUGAAUGUUGCAGCAAACAUUUGCUAUGUCUAAUUAAAUACUUAAGACAAUCUACAACCCAAAUUCAUGACAGUCUUGCAUCAAUACCUACUUUUAAAGUAUGAUUGACCGUGGAUGGUUUGAAUAACCAAGGUAUUCAGGAAGUCAAAACGUGCAAAGUGAAACACAAGAAUAAUUGAAUCCAAUAUGGUCUCAGAACUUAUGAAUAUAAAUAAAACACCUUUUAUUUUAUCACCAUAUUGAUUACACAUUAUUCAUUGUACAAUGUUUCCAUUAAUCAACUUAAUACUUGAAUUAAAACAAUAAUUAUCCCAUCCUCCAAGCAUGCAGACUAUGUUUGCCUAUGGUCCUUUCUUUGUGAAAUACAUCAAUUGAACACAUCUUCAAUGAAACUCAUUUCACCGUUCCAAAUCCUUACCGUAAAUGUAAGAAUACCAAAUUCUUGUCAUUUGCUGUAAUCUGUUAGAUUCUAACCUGACAUGCAAUUAAGUGUGUUCAUUUGGAUGGAUCGGUUCAAUCCGAGCCAAUUAAGUAAAUCCAAAUUGAUUUUGGUUUUUAAAAUAUGGAUUCGAAUUGUCCAAACUAAAUUCAAAUCCGUUCCGAUCCAAUCCAAUUACACAUCGGUUGGAUCGGUUUUUAUAAUUCGGUUUCAAAAGACAUAACAUUUUAAAAUGAUAUAUAAUUAUAAUAUUAUCCAAUUUUUAUAGAAGAAGCAAAAACAAAUUAUUUAGUUGUAAUUUAUAAUUUAUAAACAGUUACUAAGAAAGUAUAUUAUAAUUUAAUAUUUAUUAGGUAAAACGAUUUUGAGAGAAAAUCAUAUUAAGUUUUUUUUAUUUGCCGAAACUUUUUGAUCUUUUUUGAAAAAAAUAAUUUAUAAAAUUAAUAAACAAUUAUAAAUAUAUUAAAAAUAAAUAAAUAAUAAAUUGUUAUUCGGUUUUUUUGGACUAUUCGGUUCUUAUUUUAUAAACCAAAACCAAUCCAAAAUCCAAAUUAAUAAUUCGGUUUUGGUGAAAUCCAAUCAAAAAAUCCGAACUAUCCGAACCAAAUAGUCCAAUCCAAAUUGUCCGAUUGGAUAAUUCGGUUUUAUCCAAAUAGUGAACAGCCGUACAUGCAAUGAUCCUUUUGUAAUGACUAUGCACAAAAGUCACAUAGAUUUGGCAAUAGACAUUACAAAGUAUUCCAAUGGAUACCAAUUCCAUGGAAAUGAAGUCUCACAUUCAAAGUACAUUGCUUUGAACAUCCUUCUUGCAUUAUGUUUUCUAAUCUUACACAGAUUUGAAGAGUAACUUCCACUUAUGGAAACAUUUCCCUACUGCCAUUUUGACUAUCACUUUUGAAAAAGAGUUUCCUCUUUUCAGAAUAUGUCAAUAUGGUCCUUCGAAAAUUUACACUAUAUGGUCCUUCCAAAAUUUACACAAUAAUUCCAAUUGUCCAUGAGCAACCAAUAUUAGGUAAACCUCAAAUUGUCCUCGACAAUUGUUUAACCAUUUUAGUCAUAUCCAGUUCUGGUCCUUUUUCCUUCUUAAUUCCCUAUGCAUUUGGAAAAUUCAAAACACAUCUACUAUAGAAUAUGCAAUCGAUCCUAUACCCGAAGCAUAUGGGAUUCAAUACAUAAUGUCUCCCAUAAAAACAUGAUACUUUACUAGUCUUUCGCUAUAAAAUUUCCACAUAUAGAAUUUCCUUAUCUUGAAUCAUUUCAACAUAACAUUCACAUAUGUCCAUGACUAAUUUCGAUUAAAAUCUCAAUCUAAGCUUUUAGAUUUGAAAUGAAGUAUGAAUUCCUCUCCCUUAAUUAUAGAAAAACAACUUUUCAAACCCUGCAACUUUGCGAAUUGAAACUUUUGUUUUCUAUAAUUAACAUUGCUGACUCGCAACACUUAACGUGAUAAUUGUGCUCCCACUAGCAUAAUAUUUACAUUCUUAUUAUCUUAACACUUAUGCUCCCACUAGUCUUGACAUGUACCUAUAAAUUAGUUGGACUUCUAGAAAUCAAUACUUAUUGACAUUCUUACCAAAGUUUAUAUUUCUGAUACGAGAUGCUUCGAUAAGACUUUAUCCAGGCUUCUCAAACUUAUACACCUUUCCUUAGAUAGAUCACAUGUGUGUCUAAACAUUUUUAGAACUUACAGCAAUAAGAGUCAAAUAUUUAGACCUUUGCCAUUUCACAUAAUUCGAACUAUGAAGAGGGAUGUCGUAAUCAUAAUGAAAUUUGAGAAUGCAAAUAUCACAAUUGCUAACUCUUUAAAAUCUACUUAGUGAAAGCGUUUCCUCAUAAUCAAUUUCAUGAAUUGGAGAAAAACCUUAUGACACUUAGAUUUUAUGGUUUAUGUGUUCCUAUCCAUUUAAGUUUGUGAAAACCAUAAUCACAAGACAAGGUUAGUAACAAAUUCAAACUCAUAUGCACUGAACUUGUUCAAUCUUAAUUCCUUGCCACCUGGUAGCACAAAGGCCUACCAUUGCUUCUAGGUUGUUAUGCAAACAAUUGAGAACUCAUAGAACUCACAUGCAUAGUCAUCCAACUGGAAUAGGCACAAAAAUAAGAGUAUCUUAACACGAUAGGUUAUAAACCUCAAGUCGUGUGCUAGUGACUAACAAUAGGUUUACUCUUGAUUAGUUCUUGAAACUCUUCAAGAUCUUUAAGACUCCCACUGACCUCUUGACAUAUAAGAUUCACUUUAUCAAGGAACGUUACGUGAAAAAACCAAUAUUCAAGAGUUAGUGCGGUUUCUUAUCAAGACAAACACUUCAAACAAUUAGACUUAGUUGGUAUUUGUCUUAUCUAAAACAUCACAACUUACCAAUUUCAAAUGUACAAGAGUAAGAAACAUUUUACUCUACAUUUGAUCAGUGUUAUAAAUCUUUCUUAAGAUUAUGUCACUCAAGGCUUGAUCUUGGAGUGACUCUAAGAUUCAAUUUUGGAACGAAGUAUGAUUCACCUUUCAAUUUAACCAUUUCAACAAUUCAUGAUUCCUCUUCUUAGCCAAAAAAAUGCACUAAGAUGUCCUUAUAGGAUCAAUUAUGAUAUGGUUUCAUAGUCACUAAGAUAAUCAUAAAACACGAGACUCAAGUAAUCUCCCUUCUUUUUAGAUUUGGAGAAACUUUUAUAUUUCUGCCUAAUUGGAUUCUUCUUAUCCGUUCUGACAUACAUUGAAACUUUUACAAUGAUUCAAAAUUACACUUAAUCUUGUAAGUGUAACCAUAUCUACCAAACCUUUAGUAAAUCAUGACGAAUAGUCUUAUCGUUCUUUGUGGUGGACCUGGCCGGCGUACAACUAAGUUUACCUGAUCCCCUAGUCCUUCACUUGACUCACAUAUACAUGUGAACAAGGAAUUAGACUUAAUUUCCCAAAGACGAAGUUCUCAUUCAUCACACAAUACAAGUUAUAUGAUUCCAAGUUUCUAUCCAACUGAAACUUAGGUGAUGAGAAUCUUUCCUUAUAUGGUAAAUUUUGACUCUACCAUUAACAAAAGAAUCAAAUCCAUUUUCCAAUAUUGCUAUUAAUGGAAACAUAUAAAAAACAAUUUUCACAAAUGCCAUUGUAAGGAAACUUAAAAUAAAAUAAAACAAUUUUUUUCUUUUAUUUAUAAAAUUGCAGAAAACUUAUCCUUACAAUGCAAAUACAUGUGAAAACUAUGUUGUUAUCUAUUCCUAAGCAAUCUAUCAUAGCUCUUAAGCAGCAGCUCAAAAUUCUGAUCUUCGAACCAUGAGAUCAAAAUCUAUCUCUUCACGAUCAAAAUCAACUUACUUUUUCUUUAAGCUUCCUUUCUUUUCUUCAAUUCUAUAACACAUCAAAAUGUAAUUACAUUACAUCAUGUAUCAAGAAUCUCCAAGUAGAAACUUAAAAGAGUUAGAUAGUGGACUUUACUUGAAGUAGAGUCAAAC
This 11584-nucleotide long non-coding RNA is filed under the name Lactuca sativa (garden lettuce). RNAcentral's name for it is "long non-coding RNA (LSAT_LNC004164)". Lineage: Eukaryota; Viridiplantae; Streptophyta; Magnoliopsida; Asterales; Asteraceae. The record is from RNAcentral.